GAUGAACGCUGGCGGCGUGCCUAAUACAUGCAAGUCGAGCGAACGGACGAGAAGCUUGCUUCUCUGAUGUUAGCGGCGGACGGGUGAGUAACACGUGGAUAACCUACCUAUAAGACUGGGAUAACUUCGGGAAACCGGAGCUAAUACCGGAUGAUAUUUUGAACCGCAUGGUUCAAAAGUGAAAGACGGUCUUGCUGUCACUUAUAGAUGGAUCCGCGCUGCAUUAGCUAGUUGGUAAGGUAACGGCUUACCAAGGCAACGAUGCAUAGCCGACCGGAGAGGGUGAUCGCCCACACUGGAGCUGAGACACGGUCCAGGCUCCUACGGGAGGCAGCAGUAGGGAAUCUUCCGCAAUGGGCGAAAGCCUUACGGAGCAACGCCGCGUGAGUGAUGAAGGUCUUCGGAUCGUAAAACUCUGUUAUUAGGGAAGAACAUAUGUGUAAGUAACUGUGCACAUCUUGACGGUACCUAAUCAGAAAGCCACGGCUAACUACGUG
This 497-nucleotide ribosomal RNA is filed under the name uncultured bacterium. RNAcentral's name for it is "partial 16S ribosomal RNA". It matches the Rfam family "Bacterial small subunit ribosomal RNA", at positions 28 to 507 of the family's 1533-position model. The record is from RNAcentral.